GAUGAACGCUAGCGGCAGGCUUAACACAUGCAAGUCGAGGGGCAGCGCGGGAUAGCAAUAUCCUGGCGGCGACCGGCGGAAGGGUGCGUAACGCGUGAGCGACAUGCCCGUUGCCCGGGGACAACCGGUGGAAACGCCGACUAAUCCCCGAUGGGAUAUUGUGCCGCAUGGCACGAUAUUGAAAGUUACGGCGGCGACGGAUUGGCUCGCGUCCGAUUAGCUGGUUGGCGGGGUAACGGCCCACCAAGGCUGCGAUCGGUAGGGGUUCUGAGAGGAAGGCCCCCCACAAUGGGACUGAGACACGGCCCAUACUCCUACGGGAGGCAGCAGUGAGGAAUAGUGGUCAAUGGGCGGAAGCCUGAACCAGCCAUGCCGCGUGCGGGAAGGAGGCCCUAUGGGCUGUGAACCGCUUUUGCCUGGGGGCAAUAACGGCGUCGCGCACGUCCGAUGAGAGUACCAGGCGAAUAAGCAUCGGCUAACUCCGUG
This 486-nucleotide ribosomal RNA is filed under the name uncultured bacterium. RNAcentral describes it as "partial 16S ribosomal RNA". It matches the Rfam family "Bacterial small subunit ribosomal RNA", at positions 28 to 507 of the family's 1533-position model. The record is from RNAcentral.